Molecule: transfer RNA, 69 nt
Filed under: Pateobatis jenkinsii (Jenkins' whipray)
Lineage: Eukaryota; Metazoa; Chordata; Chondrichthyes; Myliobatiformes; Dasyatidae
Description: tRNA-Glu
Rfam family: tRNA
About the family: Transfer RNA (tRNA) molecules are approximately 80 nucleotides in length. Their secondary structure includes four short double-helical elements and three loops (D, anti-codon, and T loops). Further hydrogen bonds mediate the characteristic L-shaped molecular structure. tRNAs have two regions of fundamental functional importance: the anti-codon, which is responsible for specific mRNA codon recognition, and the 3' end, to which the tRNAs corresponding amino acid is attached (by aminoacyl-tRNA synthetases). tRNAs cope with the degeneracy of the genetic code in two manners: having more than one tRNA (with a specific anti-codon) for a particular amino acid; and 'wobble' base-pairing, i.e. permitting non-standard base-pairing at the 3rd anti-codon position.
Source: RNAcentral
GUUCUUAUAGUUGAAUAACAACAACAGUUUUUCAGAUUGGAGGUCUUAGUUAAAGUCUAGGUAAGAAUA